Molecule: long non-coding RNA, 706 nt
Filed under: Mus caroli (Ryukyu mouse)
Lineage: Eukaryota; Metazoa; Chordata; Mammalia; Rodentia; Muridae
Description: brown adipose tissue enriched long noncoding RNA 3 (MGP_CAROLIEiJ_G0004188.1)
Source: RNAcentral
GAACUCCCACAUAUUCGUACUAAGUCACAGGGAACAAGGCAGAAUGAGGUUCAGUGGGGUGUGCCAGGUGAGUGUUGAUCAGCACCAAUGACAGCAUGAAACUGAUGUUCCAGGUGGGGAGACUGAAGAGGAGCCAGUUGUAGACACAAGAUAGAGAUGGUGACGAGAAAGUCACAUGUUAUGAUGGUGGCUGCAUCUCUGAUAUAUCAGAGGACAUUCUAAAGGAGCCUUGACACACAAAAGGCUUCUGAGACUCCUGCACCAGGGACUAAGAUGAAGCAGUUGAAAUCAAUUGGAUCCCAGGCAGCUUCCAGCCAGCAGAGACAUUCUGUCUUCCCUACACUCUGGGCAGGUCUUGGCAGCGCCCUGCCUGACUCCAGCCUGUCCCUUCUCGAGCCUGGAAAAGCCCAGGAGACCGAGGCGCACUCACCCGGUGGCUGCCUCUGUCCAUGGUGUAAGAGAAUGCUUCUUCCAGGCUCAGCUGAUGUCGAGGAGGCAAAAGAAACAGAGGAAGAGACACAUGCCCUAAAGCAGAGUUGCUGAGCUCAGAAGUGUGGAAGCAGAAGAGUUCGGUGGACUUGGGAAUGCUCCCUUUGUGAUAAAGCCCCAGGGUGGCUGCAACUUCUCUGAGAUCCGUGGAUUCUGUGACUGGGUCUGUGUUCCCCCAUGCAUGAAUCUGUACCCAAAUAAAAUUCUCUUUGCUUUU